GCGGGAGUAACUCAGUGGUAGAGUGCGACCUUGCCAAGGUCGAAGUCGCGAGUUCAAAUCUCGUCUCCCGCUCCA
Molecule: transfer RNA, 75 nt
Filed under: Pseudomonadota bacterium
Lineage: Bacteria; Pseudomonadati; Pseudomonadota
Also listed under: 4 other names
Description: tRNA-Gly
Rfam family: tRNA
About the family: Transfer RNA (tRNA) molecules are approximately 80 nucleotides in length. Their secondary structure includes four short double-helical elements and three loops (D, anti-codon, and T loops). Further hydrogen bonds mediate the characteristic L-shaped molecular structure. tRNAs have two regions of fundamental functional importance: the anti-codon, which is responsible for specific mRNA codon recognition, and the 3' end, to which the tRNAs corresponding amino acid is attached (by aminoacyl-tRNA synthetases). tRNAs cope with the degeneracy of the genetic code in two manners: having more than one tRNA (with a specific anti-codon) for a particular amino acid; and 'wobble' base-pairing, i.e. permitting non-standard base-pairing at the 3rd anti-codon position.
Source: RNAcentral